GUGAAAGUGAGGAUAAUCCUAUGUAAAGCUAUGGUAACGAGCUCAUUAGAGUGAGUAAACAGAUUGCUUUGUAUAUGGUUUGUGGUCUCUAGCUUGAGUGGAUGAUAACUGAAUAACAUUUUGAACUGUUUUGGCAAUCAAAAUAACUGAUUUCAGACAUAUUUUCUCUUGUUUAUUGAUGCUUACACAUAAUUUACAGCGAUGACACAUAAUAGUAAAUAUUUUACUAAACAGGCAGGGAAGUUAUCUGAGACAAUAAUUACACAGUUAACAUGAAUAGAGGGAAUGAGUACAGGAUCGAACAGUGACAGUGACAGUGGAUUCUCUUCAAACCUUUUCAAAGUUUGUAAGACAAAAAAUGUAUAUUUCUCCUUACUUUUCGACACAUCUUAAUGAGCAUAUCCACAUGAAUACUGAAGAAGGAUGGGAAAGAAAGAGAGGAAAAGAAAGAGAGGGAAAGGAAAAGGAGAGGAAACAGGAAAGGGUGACAUUGUUCAGUGUACAGUGUUGUAUUUAACGUAUUUUACCUCAGAAAAAUCCACUGCAGCAGCGCUCGGUUUUGUUUCUAUAUAAGUUUCUCACUCUAUAUAAAACCUGCUGUUUAAAACAGCUCUUUCCAGAAUGACUACAAUCUCAAUGCAAACAAUACAUAGUGUUUACCUCUGUUGCUAAACUAGCUAUAAAGUGAAGCAGACUGGUCUCCUGACAAAGAAAUGUCAUAUUUUCUAAUUCUAGUUCUAGUCUUUAAGAAAUGAACAACAACAUUACACAUUCAAGUUACACCUACUAAUUCAACUUUUCACAUAUUACUAAAUGACAUUGAGAGUUCAUUGUUAGGAAUACUUUAUUUAAGCAUUAAGUGGUAUUUAUAAGUGUAUUAUAUAUACUACGUAUUCCUAUAAUGUUUAUGAACUGUCUGAUUAUAGAUUUAGGACUAUAGUUGUACAAAUAAUAUUACAUAAACGUUCAACUCCAUAUUGUGGAAGCCCCAAGCUGCCAUCAAUAUACAUUUGAAUUUUGACCCUGUCUUUGCAAAGUAUCGUUUUCAGGAGAUGUCAAAUUAAUUAUAUUGUUAUAUCUUGGAAAAUAAAGUUUCGUUAUCUUGAGAUAAUGACAUCAGUCGAGAUCUUGAGAAAAUGGGAGUGUAAAAGAAAUGUAAUUUGAUGAGAUCUCACAGCUUCCAUAGCAAACACUCCUCUGUACAGCAAAUUGAAGAACAGGUAAAAAUCUUUACAAGCACAAACUAACUCUCUGAGACUGUAUGAUGUCAUAGAGUGUAUUUCAUUACUCAAUUCUAAAUUCUUAUUUAAUAUAAAAUGUAUUUUACACACCCUGUAUGGGUAGUUGGAGCCAGGGUGAUGUUUUUUGUAUGAGGAAAAAAGGCUUUACUAAGAAUUUAACAAUUUUCUCUUCAAAGUCAUGAAGGACUUAAUCAACACAACCUUCCCACCCACUCCUUUGGACUGUUUUUUUUAUAUUUUUAAAUAUGCAGCAAACUCUUUUUCAAUUCCACCAUUUUUUACACACACAGGUCGUUCUCAGCUCUUACACAUUAUGCGUAGCUUGAUUUGAACACUCUUCAGUAUUCACUCAAUUCAUUCUUUAUCGAAACUAUGCUAUUCUCCUUUACAUUUCCCUGUGAUUCUGAUCUUCAAUAACCUAACUGAACUUACUACUAAAUACAUACAACAUGUACAUUUGAUGACUUUUUUUUUUUUACUUUCAUCUCCACUAAGUUUAUAUCCACUGAGAGAAAGAGAGGUCUUCAUUAUCUAGGCUUGUAGUUUUCUCUGCAGUGGCAAACUGUGAGAGAUUUGCCUGUAAGAUCUCCACUCAAAUGACAUGAGAGGCCGAAGUAGGACAGCAUAUCCAAGGGCACUCAACCGAAUCAAAGUGGUGUGCUCCUGUUUGAUGUUGUCUCUGGAGGACAUCAAAGCUGCUCCCAGUGCAGAGCAGAGGACGGCUGCAAAGAUGUAUCUUUGAUUAUGAAUGGAGAAACCCAAUCAGAUUAUGCGCCACAUAUCUGCAACUGAAGUGACAGUCAGGCCCUCUGUGUUGGCAGACUGAACAUGUUGAUUUUGGCUGUUAAACUGUUUAAAAUGAUGAAACUGACUGGAUGCUGUGUGACAUUUAUUCCCCUAUGUAGUCAGUGCCAUCUCCUGUAAGAUGGAUCUGAUUUUUAGAUGUGUUCACAACCCACACGUCCCCCCC
Molecule: long non-coding RNA, 2211 nt
Organism: Clupea harengus (Atlantic herring)
Lineage: Eukaryota; Metazoa; Chordata; Actinopteri; Clupeiformes; Clupeidae
Exons: 2
Source: RefSeq, a predicted model, not a curated record